RNAcentral lists this ribosomal RNA (465 nucleotides) under Vreelandella stevensii. Its description in RNAcentral is "partial 16S ribosomal RNA". It matches the Rfam family "Bacterial small subunit ribosomal RNA", at positions 338 to 795 of the family's 1533-position model. Lineage: Bacteria; Pseudomonadati; Pseudomonadota; Gammaproteobacteria; Oceanospirillales; Halomonadaceae. The record is from RNAcentral.
CCUACGGGUGGCAGCAGUGGGGAAUAUUGGACAAUGGGGGGAACCCUGAUCCAGCCAUGCCGCGUGUGUGAAGAAGGCCCUCGGGUUGUAAAGCACUUUCAGUGAGGAAGAACGCCUGGUGGUUAAUACCCAUCAGGAAAGACAUCACUCACAGAAGAAGCACCGGCUAACUCCGUGCCAGCAGCCGCGGUAAUACGGAGGGUGCGAGCGUUAAUCGGAAUUACUGGGCGUAAAGCGCGCGUAGGUGGCUUGAUAAGCCGGUUGUGAAAGCCCCGGGCUCAACCUGGGAACGGCAUCCGGAACUGUCAAGCUAGAGUGCAGGAGAGGAAGGUAGAAUUCCCGGUGUAGCGGUGAAAUGCGUAGAGAUCGGGAGGAAUACCAGUGGCGAAGGCGGCCUUCUGGACUGACACUGACACUGAGGUGCGAAAGCGUGGGUAGCAAACAGGAUUAGAUACCUUUGUAGUC